UCAGUCGACUCCUACGGGAGGCAGCAGUGGGGAAUCUUAGACAAUGGGCGCAAGCCUGAUCUAGCCAUGCCGCGUGAGUGAUGAAGGCCUUAGGGUCGUAAAGCUCUUUCGCCAGGGGAUGAUAAUGACAGUACCUGGUAAAGAAACCCCGGCUAACUCCGUGCCAGCAGCCGCGGUAAUACGGAGGGGUUAGCGUUGUUCGGAAUUACUGGGCGUAAAGCGCGCGUAGGCGGAUUAGUCAGUUAGAGGUGAAAUCCCAGGGCUCAACCCUGGAACUGCCUUUAAUACUGCUAGUCUUGAGUUCGAGAGAGGUGAGUGGAAUUCCGAGUGUAGAGGUGAAAUUCGUAGAUAUUCGGAGGAACACCAGUGGCGAAGGCGGCUCACUGGCUCGAUACUGACGCUGAGGUGCGAAAGUGUGGGGAGCAAACAGGAUUAGAUACCCUGGUAG
Molecule: ribosomal RNA, 448 nt
Filed under: uncultured bacterium
Lineage: Bacteria
Description: bacterial SSU rRNA
Rfam family: Bacterial small subunit ribosomal RNA
Source: RNAcentral